GACGGGGGAUGCAAGCGUUAUCCGGAAUCACUGGGCGUAAAGCGUCCGUAGGUGGUUAUGCAAGUCUGCCGUUAAAGACUGGGGCUUAACUCCAGAGAAGCAGUGGAAACUGCAGGACUAGAGUGUGGUAGGGGUAGAAGGAAUUCCCUGUGUAGCGGUGAAAUGCGUAGAUAAUGGGAAGAACAUCGGUGGCGAAAGCGUUCUACUGGACUGCAACUGACACUGAGGGACGAAAGCUAGGGGAGCGAAAGGG
This 253-nucleotide ribosomal RNA is filed under the name uncultured bacterium. RNAcentral describes it as "partial 16S ribosomal RNA". It matches the Rfam family "Bacterial small subunit ribosomal RNA", at positions 524 to 776 of the family's 1533-position model. The record is from RNAcentral.